RNAcentral lists this ribosomal RNA (567 nucleotides) under uncultured bacterium. RNAcentral describes it as "bacterial SSU rRNA". It matches the Rfam family "Bacterial small subunit ribosomal RNA", at positions 338 to 916 of the family's 1533-position model. The record is from RNAcentral.
CCUACGGGAGGCAGCAGUGGGGAAUAUUGCACAAUGGGCGAAAGCCUGAUGCAGCGACGCCGCGUGAGGGAUGACGGCCUUCGGGUUGUAAACCUCUUUCAGUAGGGAAGAAGCGAAAGUGACGGUACCUGCAGAAGAAGCGCCGGCCAACUACGUGCCAGCAGCCGCGGUAAUACGUAGGGCGCAAGCGUUAUCCGGAAUUAUUGGGCGUAAAGAGCUCGUAGGCGGUUUGUCGCGUCUAUCGUGAAAGUCCGGGGCUCAACUCCGGAUCUGCGGUGGGUACGGGCAGACUAGAGUGAUGUAGGGGAGACUGGAAUUCCUGGUGUAGCGGUGAAAUGCGCAGAUAUCAGGAGGAACACCGAUGGCGAAGGCAGGUCUCUGGGCAUUAACUGACGCUGAGGAGCGAAAGCAUGGGGAGCGAACAGGAUUAGAUACCCUGGUAGUCCAUGCCGUAAACGUUGGGCACUAGGUGUGGGGGACAUUCCACGUUUUCCGCGCCGUAGCUAACGCAUUAAGUGCCCCGCCUGGGGAGUACGGCCGCAAGGCAAAACUCAAAUGAAUUGACGG